This 573-nucleotide ribosomal RNA is filed under the name Beauveria brongniartii. RNAcentral's name for it is "eukaryotic LSU rRNA". The stretch from base 206 to 359 matches the Rfam family "5.8S ribosomal RNA". The record is from RNAcentral. Lineage: Eukaryota; Fungi; Ascomycota; Sordariomycetes; Hypocreales; Cordycipitaceae.
UCGUAACAAGGUCUCCGUUGGUGAACCAGCGGAGGGAUCAUUACCGAGUUUUCAACUCCCUAACCCUUAUGUGAACCUACCUAUUGUUGCUUCGGCGGACUCGCCCCAGCCGGACGCGGACUGGACCAGCGGCCGCCGGGGACCCUCAAACUCUUGUAUUAUCAGCAUCUUCUGAAUACGCCGCAAGGCAAAACAAAUAAAUCAAAACUUUCAACAACGGAUCUCUUGGCUCUGGCAUCGAUGAAGAACGCAGCGAAAUGCGAUAAGUAAUGUGAAUUGCAGAAUCCAGUGAAUCAUCGAAUCUUUGAACGCACAUUGCGCCCGCCAGCAUUCUGGCGGGCAUGCCUGUUCGAGCGUCAUUUCAACCCUCGACCUCCCUUUGGGGAAGUCGGCGUUGGGGACCGGCAGCACACCGCCGGCCCUGAAAUGGAGUGGCGGCCCGUCCGCGGCGACCUCUGCGUAGUAAUCCAACUCGCACCGGAACCCCGACGCGGCCACGCCGUAAAACACCCAACUUCUGAACGUUGACCUCGAAUCAGGUAGGACUACCCGCUGAACUUAAGCAUAUCAAUA